Molecule: ribosomal RNA, 426 nt
Filed under: uncultured bacterium
Lineage: Bacteria
Description: bacterial SSU rRNA
Rfam family: Bacterial small subunit ribosomal RNA
Source: RNAcentral
AGAGUUUGAUCCUGGCUCAGAUUGAACGCUGGCGGCGUGCUUAACACAUGCAAGUCGUGCGAGAAAGGGGACUUCGGUCCCUGAGUAGAGCGGCGCACGGGUGAGUAACGCGUGGAUAAUCUCCCCAGAAGUUCGGGAUAACGGCGGGAAACUGCCGCUAAUACCGGAUACGCUCCAAUUUCGGUUGGGGGAAAGGCGGCCUCUGUUUACAAGCUGUCGCUUCUGGAUGAGUCCGCGUCCCAUUAGCUUGUUGGUGGGGUAAUGGCCUACCAAGGCUACGAUGGGUAGCUGGUCUGAGAGGAUGAUCAGCCACACUGGAACUGAAACACGGUCCAGACUCCUACGGGAGGCAGCAGUGGGGAAUAUUGCGCAAUGGGGGAAACCCUGACGCAGCGACGCCGUGUGAGGGAUGAAGACUUUCGGGUC